Molecule: long non-coding RNA, 3043 nt
Organism: Chelonia mydas (Green sea turtle)
Lineage: Eukaryota; Metazoa; Chordata; Testudines; Cheloniidae
Exons: 3
Source: RefSeq, a predicted model, not a curated record
AUCAGGACAGACUGAGAAACUCUCCAGGCAAGGUGGCCUGGGAGAGGCCCUGCUCAAACUGGGAACAGGCAGAGAACCCAGGAAGAGGAAGGGGCUCUAUGGCUCUUUCUGCAACAGUUAUUUGUUUGGAGAAAACAGUCCAAAAUGGAGAUUAUCUUUUGGUAGAAUUAUCCCCAUCCCCACCAAACAUACACUGGGAGGAGUUAUGCUAAUUAGUGGGUGGAGCUUGAUCCCUUGGAUACAGAUACCGCACUACUGAUGGUCUAAGCCUCGGCAGGGUUUUGGGGACAUCUGGCCUUUGCACCCCCUCUUCAUCUCCCAGCAUCAGCAUGGGUGGAGCCUUACCAACCUCCGUCACCUUGGUAAUAUCAGAUUUGGACUCUGAGCUGUUUAGUAGAGCUGGGAAUUUGAUGGUGGGUAUGGGAAAGAGUGGGAAGGUGAUUUAAUGGACACAACGGAUUAUUGAGACAAAUCUUCACAAUGUGGAUGCAAGAGGACAUCAAGGACAAAUAACCAAAGAAUGCAGUACAGUGUUCCAGAGAGUUUAUAUAAUAAGACAGACUCUGCUCUUACUUAUGUUGGUGUAGAUCUUGAGUAACUCCCAGAGUAAACUGGAAAUAAUUCGGAUUUACAGCAAUACAAGUGAGAGCAGCAUCUGGCCCCCUGAAUGUACGCUUUUUUUUUUUUUUUUUAUUAUAAAGCUUAAGUGAUGACUCAUGAGUUUCACUUAUAAGCUGUGUUAGGGACAAUUGAAAAAGGAUAUUAAUUGGGAGAAUUCUGAUUUAUCACUCCAUAUAUUGUGAGUGUUGGUAGGAUGUUUGAUUUUUAAUGGGCCAAUUCCUGAGAGGCCCUGGAUAACUGAACAUGAACAGGUAACUGUCACAGUGUCUGCAAUGGCUCACGAGCAUGAGUGCCUCCCUCAGGGUAGACUGUCAAAAACAUGGCAGACACCCAUCAACUUAGUAACAAAUGUGAGCUCCUGGAUCACACUAACAGUUUUAUCAUGGAGUCACAGACAAUACCCUUAGUCUAUCUUGCCACCCACUCAAGCUGGAUUUAGAGAUGAAUGGUCAAUUACAUUAAAAAUCACAAAAUAUUCCCGUGGCUUUCAGUCCCAAGAGACCAGUCACUUACUUCAGAUCAAUUGGUAUCUUAGAUCUCACACCAAAGACCAUGCCUGAAGCCAAUUAUGUAAUAAACUAAAUAAUAAGGUUUAUUAGCAAGGAAAAAGAAAUAAAACUCUUAUUUACAGGUUCAAGCAAGCAUAUAACACAAAGGAGUUCCAAUCUAAACCCUACGAGUGACAGAAUUGUAGUGAUCUGUCAAUUCAAACUGUCUUUCAGGGCAACCCCAGGGAUAACCCUGGUGAUCUCUUGCUUCUGUUUAGAGUCUCUAGCCCGGUGAUGAAAUGACAUGAAGAUUUUUCAUCUCUCUUGACAACUAUUAUUAUUUCCCUCAUCCAGCAUUCAAACCAAUGGGAUGAGGUGGCCUUCCACAAGUAUUUCUCCAUGGGUGGAUGGGGGCAUUUAACAAAGCUUUUGUCUUAUAAUGACCCACUUAAUUUUUGAUAGUCCUCCUGGAUGGGCAGGGAGGGGGAGGAAUGAUUCCUGUGACUGGGUUCACAAGUUCAGAGCAAACAUUUCAAAGUGAUAACGCAAAAUUUACAUAUUUCAUUAUCGCAUGCAAUACAGACAUUAUAAGUAAGAUUAAUGCAUGCAGCAACUUACAAGCAUUUCAUAGAGUCUAAACACUCAACACAUUCUGAUGAGACUAAUACCUAUUUUGAACAAAACUAACGUACAGAUGAGCUGGUUUGGUUUCCAGCUGUGAGUUUGUCCAUUCUUAGUUAAUACCUAUGGCCUUGGCCAGAGCUGGCACGUGGUUUACCAGCAUCACAGUAACAUUUUCCAAAAUGCCUAGGUCCCAUUUCAAAAGUGACACAGGCAUUUAGCCUCAUUGAAAAAUCCAUGGAAUUUAGGCUCCUCAGUCAUAAAUAACUGUUGCUUUUGAAACUGGGACUUAAAUUCCUAAAUCACUGAAGCAAAUUUGAAAAUUCUGCUGUGACUUCUACUGAAUGUCAGUGGAAUUUAGGCUCUAAAUCACACAGGCAUUCUGUAAAUUUUUACCCCAAAUUUUUACCCCAAAUCAGAGGCUUUACUACCACUGACUGCCGUGGAGUUACACAGGUGGAGCUGAGAUCAGGAGGGCCGGCUCCAGCUUUUUUGCCGCCCCAAGCAACAAAGAAAAAAAAACAAAAAAAACUACACCUGAUUGAGCUGCCGCCGAAGUGCUGCCGAAGAGGAAGAGAGGGAACGAAGGACCCGCCGCCGAAGACGUGCCGCCCCAAUAACGCACGGAGUGAUGCCCCUUUCUAUUGGCCACCCCAGGCACCUGCUUCCUUUGCUGGUGCCUGGAGCCGGCCCUGGAGAUCAGAAUCCAGUUCUGUAGCCACAUGAAUGGCAUUUCUUUUUCUUUAUAAUGUCAAAAUAAUAUUUAAUGUUGUAAACUGAAUUCACUUUUAAAAAUAUUAGAUUGACCAGACCUUUACUUUUGUAUUCCAAACACCUUACCUCACACUUGUGCCGGGGCUUCCUUCAAAACAGCUUCAUCCACCCAUCAUUGAGUAGUUUUUAACUUUCAUUCUUAAUUAAAAUGCAAAUUGGAAAGUGUUUAACAAUCCCCGUCAAUUAUUAAAAUACGAAAACAGGUCUGUGAGACACAAAAAAAGAAAAAGGCUUCCUACGAAAAGAAACAUUAUUGCCAUGUUUGCAAGUUUCACUAGUAACUCCCCAGAGACUACACCGCUUUUUCCUACUUCUUUUAAAAUGUUUGUAACAAGCCAAACUGGGGAAAACUGUAAAACCUCCUUCAUUUUUUAAAAAUAAAAAUGAAAUGAAAUGUUGUAUGAUUUCAAGUGAAAAAGUAAGCAGCUUCCUCUCCACUGUCAUUGCGGGAGAGGGCUGAGGAAAGGUUUAUUUGUCUACAAAUGUAGUUCUGCUGGUGACCUGUGAUGUUGCUCUCCAUGUCUGCAGCACUCCUUGUU